Molecule: ribosomal RNA, 429 nt
Filed under: Bacillota bacterium
Lineage: Bacteria; Bacillati; Bacillota
Description: Firmicutes bacterium partial 16S ribosomal RNA
Rfam family: Bacterial small subunit ribosomal RNA
Source: RNAcentral
UGGGGAAUUUUGGACAAUGGGCGAAAGCCUGAUCCAGCAAUGCCGCGUGUGUGAAGAAGGCCUUCGGGUUGUAAAGCACUUUUGUCCGGAAAGAAAUGGCUCUGGUUAAUACCUGGGGUCGAUGACGGUACUGGAAGAAUAAGGACCGGCUAACUACGUGCCAGCAGCCGCGGUAAUACGUAGGGUCCAAGCGUUAAUCGGAAUUACUGGGCGUAAAGCGUGCGCAGGCGGUUGUGCAAGACCGAUGUGAAAUCCCCGAGCUUAACUUGGGAAUUGCAUUGGUGACUGCACGGCUAGAGUGUGUCAGAGGGGGGUAGAAUUCCACGUGUAGCAGUGAAAUGCGUAGAGAUGUGGAGGAAUACCGAUGGCGAAGGCAGCCCCCUGGGAUAACACUGACGCUCAUGCACGAAAGCGUGGGGAGCAAACAGG